CUGCUUGUUUUAGCAGCAUGUAUACUAAAAUUGGAAUGAUACAGAGAAAAUUAGCUUGGCCCCUGUGCAAGAAUAACAAGCAAUUGGUGAAACAUUCCAUAUUUAA
Small nuclear RNA from Jaculus jaculus (lesser Egyptian jerboa), 106 nucleotides. The record is from Ensembl. NCBI's taxonomy places the organism in Eukaryota, Metazoa, Chordata, Mammalia, Rodentia, Dipodidae.